UACGGAGGGUGCGAGCGUUGUCCGGAAUCACUGGGCGUAAAGGGCGCGUAGGCGGUUCGUUAAGUUGCUGGUGAAAUCCCGGGGCUCAACUCCGGGGCUGCCAGUAAGACUGGCGGGCUAGAGCACGGUAGAGGCAGAUGGAAUUCCCGGUGUAGCGGUGGAAUGCGUAGAUAUCGUUUGGAACGCCGAUGGUGAAAACAGGUCGCUGGGGUUGUGCUGACGCUGAGACACGAAAGCCAGGGGAGCGAACGGG
This 253-nucleotide ribosomal RNA is filed under the name uncultured bacterium. RNAcentral describes it as "partial 16S ribosomal RNA". It matches the Rfam family "Bacterial small subunit ribosomal RNA", at positions 524 to 776 of the family's 1533-position model. The record is from RNAcentral.